AUUGAACGCUGGCGGCAGGCCUAACACAUGCAAGUCGAACGGUAACAGGGAGCAGCUUGCUGCUCUGCUGACGAGUGGCGGACGGGUGAGUAAUGUCUGGGAAACUGCCUGAUGGAGGGGGAUAACUACUGGAAACGGUAGCUAAUACCGCAUAACGUCUUCGGACCAAAGUGGGGGACCUUCGGGCCUCUGCCAUCAGAUGUGCCCAGAUGGGAUUAGCUAGUAGGUGGGGUAAAGGCUCACCUAGGCGACGAUCCCUAGCUGGUCUGAGAGGAUGACCAGCCACACUGGAACUGAGACACGGUCCAGACUCCUACGGGAGGCAGCAGUGGGGAAUAUUGCACAAUGGGCGCAAGCCUGAUGCAGCCAUGCCGCGUGUAUGAAGAAGGCCUUCGGGUUGUAAAGUACUUUCAGCGAGGAGGAAGGGGUUGUGGUUAAUAACCGCAGUCAUUGACGUUACUCGCAGAAGAAGCACCGGCUAACUCCGUGCCAGCAGCCGCGGUAAUACGGAGGGUGCAAGCGUUAAUCGGAAUUACUGGGCGUAAAGCGCACGCAGGCGGUUUGUUAAGUCAGAUGUGAAAUCCCCGGGCUCAACCUGGGAACUGCAUUUGAAACUGGCAAGCUUGAGUCUCGUAGAGGGGGGUAGAAUUCCAGGUG
RNAcentral lists this ribosomal RNA (657 nucleotides) under Cronobacter turicensis. RNAcentral describes it as "bacterial SSU rRNA". It matches the Rfam family "Bacterial small subunit ribosomal RNA", at positions 28 to 675 of the family's 1533-position model. The record is from RNAcentral. Lineage: Bacteria; Pseudomonadati; Pseudomonadota; Gammaproteobacteria; Enterobacterales; Enterobacteriaceae.